Molecule: long non-coding RNA, 492 nt
Filed under: Capra hircus (goat)
Lineage: Eukaryota; Metazoa; Chordata; Mammalia; Artiodactyla; Bovidae
Description: lncRNA (ENSCHIG00010010391.1)
Source: RNAcentral
UCCCUUCUACAGAUGAGGAAAUUGAAGUUGAGAGAGAUUAAGCAGUUUGAACACGAUAACAAUGCUAGUUAAGUGAUGCAGUGGGAUUCGAACAGGGUUCUGUGACUUCAGAGACUAUCUUUGUAAUUACUACAUUUUGAAUUGUCAUUAAAUACAUAACAGGCAUCACCUCGUCUACCUGGAAUCAAUAAUGUACACUCUAAGAAUUUAGCUGAGAAGAGUAAGGAGAACAUAAAAGGAUGCAACAUGUCAAAAGUUUAAGGGCUAAAGUGUAAGUAAUACUUUACACAGGAAAUAUUCUUAAAUUCUCCUUCAAUAUUCGUAUACUCUUUCCUUACAGUGUUAACUUGCUUGGUUAUCUCAACAUCAAGUUUACAAAACAGAAGCAACAGGGAAGGUUUCACUUCCCCAUGGGCCUGCCAUAUAUUCCAGCUUCUUCCACAAUAUAUGCCACAAGUUAUACCAACAACACACACUGAACCAGUCAACGUG